RNAcentral lists this ribosomal RNA (838 nucleotides) under uncultured marine bacterium. Its description in RNAcentral is "bacterial SSU rRNA". It matches the Rfam family "Bacterial small subunit ribosomal RNA", at positions 41 to 859 of the family's 1533-position model. The record is from RNAcentral.
GGUGAGCGUACUUUACUGCAGUCGAGCGGUACAGACAUAAAGAUUCAGCUUGCUGAAUCUGGUGCUGACGAGCGGCGAACGGGUGAGUAACGCGUAGGAAUCUACCCAGUAGCGGGGGAUAGCCCGAGGAAACUCGGAUUAAUACCGCAUACGCCCUGAGGGGGAAAGGGGGCAGUUUACUGCUCUCACUAUUGGAUGAGCCUGCGUAAGAUUAGCUUGUUGGUAGGGUAAUGGCCUACCAAGGCGACGAUCUUUAGCUGGUCUGAGAGGACGAUCAGCCACAUUGGGACUGAGACACGGCCCAGACAUCUACGGAUGGCAGCAGUUAAGAAUAUUGGACAAUGGGGGCAACCCUGAUCCAGGUAUACCGCGUGUGUGAAGAAGGCCCUAGGGUUGUAAAGCACUUUAAUCAGAGAAGAAGCAUUUUAAGUUAAUACCUUAUCAUGUUGACGUUACCUGAAGAAUAAGGACCGGCUAACUCCGUGCCAGCAGCCGCGGUAAUACGGAGGGUCCAAGCGUUAAUCGGAAUUACUGGGCGUAAAGCGCGCGUAGGCGGUUUAGCAAGUUGUAUGUGAAAGCCCUGGGCUCAACCUAGGAACUGCAUCCAAAACUACUAAGCUAGAGUACGAGAGAGGAGAGUAGAAUUUCUGGUGUAGCGGUGAAAUGCGUAGAUAUCAGAAGGAAUACCAAUGGCGAAGGCAGCUCUCUGGCUCGUCACUGACGCUGAGGUGCGAAAGCGUGGGUAGCAAACAGGAUUAGAUACCCUGGUAGUCCACGCCGUAAACGAUGACAACUAGCCGUUGGGCAGAUUUAACUGUUCAGUGGCACAGCUAACGCA